UGGGGAAUAUUGCACAAUGGACGGAAGUCUGAUGCAGCAACGCCGCGUGCGGGAUGACGGCCUUCGGGUUGUAAACCGCUUUUUCUCAUGACGAAGUUUUUUGACGGUAGUGGGGGAGGAAGCACCGGCUAACUACGUGCCAGCAGCCGCGGUGAUACGUAGGGUGCGAGCGUUGUCCGGAAUUAUUGGGCGUAAAGAGCUUGUAGGCGGUUUGUCGCGUCGAUAGUGCAAACUCAGUGCUUAACGCUGAGCCUGCUGUUGAUACGGGCAGACUAGAGGAAGGUAGGGGAGAAUGGAAUUCCCGGUGGAGCGGUGGAAUGCGCAGAUAUCGGGAGGAACACCGGUGGCGAAGGCGGUUCUCUGGGCCUUUCCUGACGCUGAGAAGCGAAAGCGUGGGGAGCGAACAGG
This 408-nucleotide ribosomal RNA is filed under the name Fusobacteriota bacterium. Its description in RNAcentral is "Fusobacteria bacterium partial 16S ribosomal RNA". It matches the Rfam family "Bacterial small subunit ribosomal RNA", at positions 355 to 776 of the family's 1533-position model. Lineage: Bacteria; Fusobacteriati; Fusobacteriota. The record is from RNAcentral.